CGCGGCGACCGGCGCACGGGUGAGUAACACGUAUGGAACCGUGCCCGCCAGCAGGGGGAGUAAGCGGAAGAAAUUCCGUCUAAUACCGCGUAACAACGUUGGGAGGCAUCUCCCGAUGUUUAAAGAUUUAUCGGCUGCGGAUGGCCAUGCGGCGCAUUAGCUAGUCGGCGGGGUAACGGCCCACCGAGGCGACGAUGCGUAGGGGUUCUGAGAGGAAGGUCCCCCACACUGGUACUGAGACACGGACCAGACUCCUACGGGAGGCAGCAG
RNAcentral lists this ribosomal RNA (270 nucleotides) under uncultured bacterium. Its description in RNAcentral is "partial 16S ribosomal RNA". It matches the Rfam family "Bacterial small subunit ribosomal RNA", at positions 87 to 354 of the family's 1533-position model. The record is from RNAcentral.